CACGUAGUUAGCCGGGGCUUCUUGGUCAGGUACCGUCAUUUUCUUCCCUGCUGAUAGAGCUUUACAUACCGAAAUACUUCUUCACUCACGCGGCGUCGCUGCAUCAGGGUUUCCCCCAUUGUGCAAUAUUCCCCACUGCUGCCUCCCGUAGGGGUUUGGCCGUGUCUCAGUCCCAAUGUGGCCGUUCACCCUCUCAGGCCGGCUACUGAUCGUCGCUUUGGUAGGCCGUUACCCUGCCAACUGGCUAAUCAGACGCGGGUCCAUCUCACACCGAUAAAUCUUUCCGUCAGUAUCAUGCGAUACCAGCGGGUUAUGCGUAUUAGCGGUCGUUCCAACUGUUACUCCCCUGUGUGAGGCAGGUUACCACGCGUACUCACCCGUCCGCCAUCCCCCCCAGUCAACAAAACGAACUUACACUACCGUAACG
RNAcentral lists this ribosomal RNA (427 nucleotides) under uncultured Lachnospiraceae bacterium. Its description in RNAcentral is "partial 16S ribosomal RNA". Lineage: Bacteria; Bacillati; Bacillota; Clostridia; Lachnospirales; Lachnospiraceae. The record is from RNAcentral.